CUCUUCUCAUUGGCUGACACUGCUCCGUGUGCGUCACGGGUCUCAUCAUUUCCGUUUCCUGCUCGCCUCCGGUGCCAUGGCGACCGUGAGGGGACUGAGGCAUCUGCUGUCAUGUAGCAGGUGGCGCCUCGGCAGUGGAGAAGCUCCCCAGUCUCGCAUGCUCGCUGCCGUCCUUCCGGGCAUAUCGCAGGUCGAUAACAAUUCCGAUUUUCUGGGAAAGACGCCCCAUCGCCGGCACCCCGGCAUCUUGCAGCUGCCAUGCAUCAAGGUGCCGCCAGCACUGGCUGCCGCUGCGCAGUUCCUGCUGCUCGAGAGCUCGAUGCCCAAUGUGGAGAAGCAGGUGCAAGCACUGACCAAUUAUCUGUGGAGCCGGCGUUUACCUGUAGAGCCCCAGGAGUUGCAAAGACGGGCUGUCCAUCUUGAGAAGAAAUUCCUGGAAAACCCAGACUUAGGUCAAGUGGAGGAGAAACUUCGUGAAGCUGUGCUGCGAGCCCUGCGCAAAACUACAUACCAUUGGCAAGAACUGAGCUACAAUGAGAGCCUGAGCCUGGUAUAUAUGGCAGCAAGACUGGAUGGUGGCUUUGCAGCAGUCUCCAGGGCAUUCCAUGAGAUCCAGGCUCGAGUUCCAGAGUUCCAGCCUCAAACCUUAAUGGAUUUUGGCUCGGGUACUGGUUCUGUCACUUGGGCUGCUCAUAGUGCUUGGGGCCAGAGCCUACGUGAAUAUUUGUGUGUGGACAGCUCAGCUGCUAUGUUGGUUUUGGCAGAAAAGUUACUGAAAGGUGGUUCAGAAUCUGGGGAGCCUUAUGUUCCAGGUGUCUUCUUCAGACAGUUUCUACCUGUAUCACCCAAGGUACAAUUCGAUGUGGUGGUAUCAGCCUUCUCCUUAAGUGAGCUUCCCAGCAAGGCUGACCGCACUGAACUAGUCCAAACCCUAUGGCGCAAGACAAGUCAUUUUCUGGUAUUGGUAGAGAAUGGAACAAAAGCUGGGCACUGCCUUCUUAUGGAUGCCAGGGACCUCGUCCUUAAGGGAAAAGAGAAGUCACCUUUGGACCCUCGACCUGGCUUUGUCUUUGCCCCAUGUCCACAUGAACUUCCCUGUCCCCAGUUGACAGCCUCUAAGCCCCUGGCCUGUAGCUUUUCUCAAGCUUACCACUGCAUCCCCUUCAGCUGGUCUCUCUGUAUCCUUAUCUUAGAACAAGAAGAAGCAAAAAGAGGAAAAGUUCUCAAUGGUAAUUCUUGCCCGGGGGUCUCCAGAGGAGGCUAAUCGCUGGCCCCGUAUCACUCAGCCUGUCCUUAAACGGCCACGCCAUGUGCAUUGUCACCUGUGCUGUCCAGAUGGACAUAUGCAGCAUGCUGUGAUCACAGCCCGCCAGCAUGGCAGGGAUUUGUAUCGUUGUGCUCGAGUCAGCUCCUGGGGAGAUCUUUUACCUGUGAUCACACCUUCAGAGUCGGAGCUUCCUCUGUCCCCUGCUGACGACAAGGAUUUUCUUACUUAGGCCUGCCAAGGCUGAAGCUCCCUGGUAUCCAGGGUGGGAGUGCUGGCAGCCCUAUGUAUGUUUGCUUGAGGCUUUAAUAAUAAUAAAAAGUUUUCAAAGAGUAGAAA
Molecule: RNA transcript, 1603 nt
Organism: Mustela lutreola (European mink)
Lineage: Eukaryota; Metazoa; Chordata; Mammalia; Carnivora; Mustelidae
Gene name: methyltransferase-like protein 17, mitochondrial
Exons: 14
Source: RefSeq, a predicted model, not a curated record